AUGAAUCAUGUUCACAAGUCAUACUUGUGUCUGUCCAUGGUUCUUUUCACUACAGCCACCAUAGUUCAGGGUGAGAUUUUUCACACCGACUGUAAAGAUUUAUCUGUGGAAAAUGGUAAUGAGCUUGCCUGGUUGAUGUCCUGUUGUUUUCCCAAGUACAUACUUGGAAGAGAGUGAACAGAAGACUAAAACGUGGGUCAACAGAUGUUUUGCAGUGAGCUAAAAAAUAAUUGACUUCACUAGAACAACUGCUUGAUAUUCUACAGCAGUUUUGCAGGUUUCUGAAGUGGAAGAAGCAGAUAGUGAUGGAAUGCUGCUAAAAGAAAUAUAAGAGAAUAAUAACACCCUUGGUGCUUGUUAAUUUCAUUUUGAAUUUUUUUUUUUUAAGUUGUCAGUUACAUGUUUGGUGACUGCUUUGAAAGUUCUGAUUCUGUUGCAUGUGGAUCCACAAGGUAGCUUAGGAAGCCUGAUGGCAGAAUACAAAUUGUCUUAAAAGAGUUCAUAGGUAUUCACAAUCUUUGUAUUGAAGAAAGUAUGAUGAAACUCCCCAGGUCCAGUUAGGGCAGCACUGGGAAUGCAAGGUGAGAAAUUGGAAGAAUUUACCACACACAAA
RNAcentral lists this long non-coding RNA (613 nucleotides) under Homo sapiens (human). Its description in RNAcentral is "non-protein coding lnc-SEMA5A-11:1". Lineage: Eukaryota; Metazoa; Chordata; Mammalia; Primates; Hominidae. The record is from RNAcentral.